GUGAGGAAUAUUGGGCAAUGGGCGAAAGCCUGACCCAGCCACGCCGCGUGAGUGAUGAAGGCCUUCGGGUUGUAAAGCUCUGUGGGGAGGGAAGAAAAAGCGGGAGAGUAACUGCUCUCGUGUUGACGGUACCUCCUUAGCAAGCACCGGCUAACUCUGUGCCAGCAGCCGCGGUAAUACAGAGGGUGCAAACGUUGCUCGGAAUUACUGGGCGUAAAGCGCGUGUAGGCUGACAUGCAAGUCGGGUGUGAAAUCCCAGGGCUCAACCUUGGAACUGCAAUCGAAACUGCACGUCUUGAGUACUGGAGAGGGAAGCGGAAUUCCGGGUGUAGAGGUGAAAUUCGUAGAUAUCCGGAGGAACACCAGUGGCGAAGGCGGCUUCCUGGACAGUAACUGACGCUGAGACGCGAAAGCGUGGGGAGCAAACAGGAUUAGAAACCCGAGUAGUCC
RNAcentral lists this ribosomal RNA (450 nucleotides) under uncultured bacterium. RNAcentral describes it as "bacterial SSU rRNA". It matches the Rfam family "Bacterial small subunit ribosomal RNA", at positions 354 to 796 of the family's 1533-position model. The record is from RNAcentral.